UACAGAGGGGGCAAGCGUUGUUCGGAAUUACUGGGCGUAAAGGGCGCGUAGGCGGCCUUCUAAGUCGAACGUGAAAUCCCCGGGCUCAACCCGGGAACUGCGUCCGAGACUGGAAGGCUUGAAUCCGGGAGAGGGAUGUGGAAUUCCAGGUGUAGCGGUGAAAUGCGUAGAUAUCGUUUGGAACGCCAAUGGUGAAAACAGGCAACUGGGGACAUGCUGACGCUGAGACACGAAAGCCAGGGGAGCGAACGGG
RNAcentral lists this ribosomal RNA (253 nucleotides) under uncultured bacterium. Its description in RNAcentral is "partial 16S ribosomal RNA". It matches the Rfam family "Bacterial small subunit ribosomal RNA", at positions 524 to 776 of the family's 1533-position model. The record is from RNAcentral.